GAUGAACGCUGGCGGCGUGCCUAAUACAUGCAAGUCGAGCGAACAGACGAGGAGCUUGCUCCUCUGACGUUAGCGGCGGACGGGUGAGUAACACGUGGAUAACCUACCUAUAAGACUGGGAUAACUUCGGGAAACCGGAGCUAAUACCGGAUAAUAUAUUGAACCGCAUGGUUCAAUAGUGAAAGACGGUUUUGCUGUCACUUAUCGAUGGAUCCGCGCCGCAUUAGCUAGUUGGUAAGGUAACGGCUUACCAAGGCAACGAUGCGUAGCCGACCUGAGAGGGUGAUCGGCCACACUGGAACUGAGACACGGUCCAGACACCUACGGGAGGCAGCAGUAGGGAAUCUUCCGCAAUGGGCGAAAGCCUGACGGAGCAACGCCGCGUGAGUGAUGAAGGUCUUCGGAUCGUAAAACUCUGUUAUUAGGGAAGAACAAAUGUGUAAGUAACUAUACACGUCUUGACGGUACCUAAUCAGAAAGCCCCGGCUAACUACGUG
This 497-nucleotide ribosomal RNA is filed under the name uncultured bacterium. RNAcentral's name for it is "partial 16S ribosomal RNA". It matches the Rfam family "Bacterial small subunit ribosomal RNA", at positions 28 to 507 of the family's 1533-position model. The record is from RNAcentral.